This 1461-nucleotide ribosomal RNA is filed under the name metagenome. Its description in RNAcentral is "bacterial SSU rRNA". It matches the Rfam family "Bacterial small subunit ribosomal RNA". The record is from RNAcentral.
AGAGUUUGAUCCUGGCUCAGGAUGAACGCUGGCGGCGUGCCUAACACAUGCAAGUCGAGCGAUCUUCUUCGGAAGAGAGCGGCGGACGGGUGAGUAACGCGUGGGUAACCUGCCCUGUACACACGGAUAACAUACCGAAAGGUAUGCUAGUACGGAAUAACAUAAGAAAUUCGCAUGUUUUUCUUAUCAAAGCUCCGGCGGUACAGGAUGGACCCGCGUCUGAUUAGCUAGUUGGUGAGGUAACGGCUCACCAAGGCGACGAUCAGUAGCCGACCUGAGAGGGUGAUCGGCCACAUUGGAACUGAGACACGGUCCAAACUCCUACGGGAGGCAGCAGUGGGGAAUAUUGCACAAUGGGCGAAAGCCUGAUGCAGCAACGCCGUGUGAGCGAUGAAGGCCUUCGGGUCGUAAAGCUCUGUCCUCAAGGAGGAUAAUGACGGUACUUGAGGAGGAAGCCCCGGCUAACUACGUGCCAGCAGCCGCGGUAAUACGUAGGGGGCUAGCGUUAUCCGGAUUUACUGGGCGUAAAGGGUGCGUAGGCGGUCUUUUAAGUCGGGAGUGAAAGGCUACGGCUCAACCGUAGUAAGCUCUUGAAACUGGAGGACUUGAGUGCAGGAGAGGAGAGUGGAAUUCCUAGUGUAGCGGUGAAAUGCGUAGAUAUUAGGAGGAACACCAGUAGCGAAGGCGGCUCUCUGGACUGUAACUGACGCUGAGGCACGAAAGCGUGGGGAGCAAACAGGAUUAGAUACCCUGGUAGUCCACGCCGUAAACGAUGAGUACUAGGUGUCGGGGGUUACCCCCCUCGGUGCCGCAGCUAACGCAUUAAGUACUCCGCCUGGGGAGUACGCUCGCAAGAGUGAAACUCAAAGGAAUUGACGGGGACCUGCACAAGUAGCGGAGCAUGUGGUUUAAUUCGAAGCAACGCGAAGAACCUUACCUAAGCUUGACAUCCUUUUGACCGAUGCCUAAUCGCAUCUUUCCCUUCGGGGACAGAAGUGACAGGUGGUGCAUGGUUGUCGUCAGCUCGUGUCGUGAGAUGUUGGGUUAAGUCCCGCAACUAGCGCAACCCUUGCCUUUAGUUGCCAUCAUUAAGUUGGGCACUCUAGAGGGACUGCCAGGGAUAACCUGGAGGAAGGUGGGGAUGACGUCCAAUCAUCAUGCCCCUUAUGCUUAGGGCUACACACGUGCUACAAUGGGUGGUACAGAGGGCAGCGAGGUCGUGAGGCCAAGCUAAUCCCUUAAAGCCAUUCUCAGUUCGGAUUGUAGGCUGAAACUCGCCUACAUGAAGCUGGAGUUACUAGUAAUCGCAGAUCAGAAUGCUGCGGUGAAUGCGUUCCCGGGUCUUGUACACACCGCCCGUCACACCAUGGGAGUUGGGGGCGCCCGAAGCCGGCUAGCUAACCUUUUGGAAGCGGUCGUCGAAGGUGAAACCAAUAACUGGGGUGAAGUCGUAACAAGGUA